AUUGAACGCUGGCGGCAUGCCUUACACAUGCAAGUCGAACGGCAGCGGACCUUCGGUGCCGGCGAGUGGCGAACGGGUGAGUAAUAUAUCGGAACGUACCUUUCAGUGGGGGAGUAACGUAGCGAAAGUUAACGCUAAUACCGCAUAUUCUGUGAGCAGGAAAGCAGGGGAGUCGCAAGACCUUGCACUGAUUGAGCGGCCGAUAUCAGAUUAGCUAGUUGGUGAGGUAAAGGCUCACCAAGGCGACGAUCUGUAGCGGGUCUGAGAGGAUGAUCCGCCACACUGGAACUGAGACACGGUCCAGACUCCUACGGGAGGCAGCAGUGGGGAAGUUUUGGUACGAAUAGGGGCGGAACCCGUA
Molecule: ribosomal RNA, 361 nt
Filed under: uncultured bacterium
Lineage: Bacteria
Description: bacterial SSU rRNA
Rfam family: Bacterial small subunit ribosomal RNA
Source: RNAcentral